UCCUACGGGAGGCAGCAGUGGGGAAUAUUGCACAAUGGGCGCAAGCCUGAUGCAGCCAUGCCGCGUGUGUGAAGAAGGCCUUCGGGUUGUAAAGCACUUUCAGCGGGGAGGAAGGCGAUAAGGUUAAUAACCUUGUCGAUUGACGUUACCCGCAGAAGAAGCACCGGCUAACUCCGUGCCAGCAGCCGCGGUAAUA
Molecule: ribosomal RNA, 196 nt
Filed under: uncultured Klebsiella sp.
Lineage: Bacteria; Pseudomonadati; Pseudomonadota; Gammaproteobacteria; Enterobacterales; Enterobacteriaceae
Description: partial 16S ribosomal RNA
Rfam family: Bacterial small subunit ribosomal RNA
Source: RNAcentral